AGAUUAAGUUAUUAAGGGCGCACGGUGGAUGCCUUGGCACUAGAAGCCGAUGAAGGACGUUACUAACGACGAUAUGCUUUGGGGAGCUGUAAGUAAGCUUUGAUCCAGAGAUUUCCGAAUGGGGAAACCCAGCAUGAGUUAUGUCAUGUUAUCGAUAUGUGAAUACAUAGCAUAUCAGAAGGCACACCCGGAGAACUGAAACAUCUUAGUACCCGGAGGAAGAG
RNAcentral lists this ribosomal RNA (224 nucleotides) under Staphylococcus aureus. RNAcentral describes it as "partial 23S ribosomal RNA". It matches the Rfam family "Bacterial large subunit ribosomal RNA", at positions 1 to 221 of the family's 2925-position model. The record is from RNAcentral. Lineage: Bacteria; Bacillati; Bacillota; Bacilli; Caryophanales; Staphylococcaceae.